This 632-nucleotide ribosomal RNA is filed under the name uncultured bacterium. Its description in RNAcentral is "bacterial SSU rRNA". It matches the Rfam family "Bacterial small subunit ribosomal RNA", at positions 202 to 835 of the family's 1533-position model. The record is from RNAcentral.
GAAAGAUUCAUCGGAAGAGGAUGGGCAUGCGGCGCAUUAGCUUGACGGCGGGGUAACGGCCCACCGUGGCGACGAUGCGUAGGGGUUCUGAGAGGAAGGUCCCCCACACUGGUACUGAGACACGGACCAGACUCCUACGGGAGGCAGCAGUGAGGAAUAUUGGUCAAUGGGAGAGAUCCUGAACCAGCCAAGCCGCGUGAGGGAAGACGGCCCUAUGGGUUGUAAACCUCUUUUGUCGGAGAACAAAACCCGGGACGUGUCCCGGACUGCGUGUAUCCGAAGAAAAAGCAUCGGCUAACUCCGUGCCAGCAGCCGCGGUAAUACGGAGGAUGCGAGCGUUAUCCGGAUUUAUUGGGUUUAAAGGGUGCGUAGGCGGUCUGUUAAGUCAGCGGUAAAAUUGCGGGGCUCAACCCCGUCGAGCCGUUGAAACUGGCAGACUUGAGUUGGCGAGAAGUACGCGGAAUGCGCGGUGUAGCGGUGAAAUGCAUAGAUAUCGCGCAGAACUCCGAUUGCGAAGGCAGCGUACCGGCGCCAGACUGACGCUGAGGCACGAAAGCGUGGGGAUCGAACAGGAUUAGAUACCCUGGUAGUCCACGCAGUAAACGAUGAAUGCUGGUUGUCCGGGUCGAAUG